Molecule: ribosomal RNA, 469 nt
Filed under: uncultured bacterium
Lineage: Bacteria
Description: bacterial SSU rRNA
Rfam family: Bacterial small subunit ribosomal RNA
Source: RNAcentral
GACGAACGCUGGCGGCGUGCCUGACACAUGCAAGUCGGACGGUUCUUGCACCUUCAAGCUUGCUUGCUGGUGCAAGGAUAGUGGCGGACGGGUGAGUAACGCGUGAACAUCUACCCAUUGGAGGGGGACAACCCGUCGAAAGGCGGGCUAAUACCGCGUAAGCCGCGAGGUGAGAGGCUGCCUAUUGGUGGCCGCCGAUGGAUGGGUUCGCGUCCUAUCAGCUGGUUGGUGGGGUAACGGCCUACCAAGGCGAAGACGGGUAGCCGGUCCGAGAGGAUGGCCGGCCACACUGGAACUGAGACACGGUCCAGACUCCUACGGGAGGCAGCAGUGGGGAAUAUUGGGCAAUGGGGGUAACCCUGACCCAGCGACGCCGCGUGAGGGACGAAGGUUUUCGGAUCGUAAACCUCUGUUGUACGGGAAGAAGGAAUUGACGGUACCGUACGAGAAAGCCCCGGCAAACUACGUG